Non-coding RNA from Danio rerio (zebrafish), 1647 nucleotides. NCBI's taxonomy places the organism in Eukaryota, Metazoa, Chordata, Actinopteri, Cypriniformes, Danionidae. The record is from RefSeq and is a predicted model, not a curated record.
CACAAGUUCAUCCUGAAUGAGAAUGUGCAAAUCCUCUCUCACGUACGACUCACCCUGAAUACGAGUGUGUGCAUUUUUGAGACUUUCCUGUCAGCACACACCUCCCACGUGAGUCACUCGUGCCCUGUAGCCAAUAAGAUGCGAGCUUACUGUUCAACCAAUCACAACUCCCUGAGAACGUGGGAAUGACCGAAUCGCUUCACUGUGCGCUAUAUUUGCGCAGUCUGACCUAAUUAACGAAGAUGAUCCUCUAAGAAGAAGAAUACUCCUCUAUUUAGCAUGGCAGGUGAAGAGCGGGAUGCGCGGGUAAGUGGUUACUUGAUUUCUAUAGUGGUUUAUGUAUGCAAAGAUUAAGUAUCAAAUGUUUGUUAAAGCAAUGGCUGCUGUUGUUUAUAAUGUAAACUUUAUAACGUAAAUUAAGUCCGUUAUUAAGCCAACAUGGCGAGUGAAGAACGGGAUGGUCGUGUAAAAUAGCAUGGCUUCUGUCAUGGUCGAUUCUAGGAUUGUCAUUCAAGGGAGCUCAGCUAUAAAUUUGAUCGGGGACUAAUUUGGGGGUGGAAUCGAUCGCGUACUAAAGUGAAGACCGGGAGAGCGUAAUGCCGUUUUGGGUGUGGGUGGGUAUGGGGGGUGGAGAGAGGAGAUGAUCGCCGACUGUAAGGAACGGGCGGGGUGGGGGUCGGCAGUGUUGAUCGCGGACUAUGAAGAUAACAAAUGAUAAAAGGUAUAAUUGGUAUUUGUCUUACAGGCACUGUCAUCAGAAGUAGAAAUAGCAGCAAAAGCUCUGAUCGAUGUAUUAGCCAGGGGCCUUACUCCAUCUUCGUAAAGAAAUGCACUAGCUAGUGGUAGUAGACCAAUGAGAGAAAGCAUCUCAAGUGGGACCAUUCCUUUGCCUGCAGAGCCUGAAAACAUGGCAAUUCCCAAGUAUGUUUGGGACAGAGAUUUUUCUGUGGCCAAACCUAGAAACAUUAAAAAAACUGAUUUUCAAAUCCAUGUCCUCUCUGAACCAUCACCCUUCACACCAAAAGGAGAUGAAGACCUUGAGCUUGUCCAUGCUGGACUUGGAAAAAGGCUUUUAACUGUUCCAGAUAAUUUUAAACACAGUGAGAUUGUCAGUCUGCUUGAAGGAGAGUUUCCCAAAUUAAAAACACUUCAGGGUGGCUGGAUGUUUUACAAGUCUACAGGUAUUUAUGUUUUGCAUGUUACAUAUAAACAAAAAAUGAUUUGUGUGCAUUUGCAAUAACUUUGCAAUUUUGUAAAUUAAUGAAACUGGUAUGUGCUUUUUUGGCGUUAAUAAUUUAGUAAUAAGCUUCAUUAGUUUAAACUUUUUAGUCAAGGACAUGUUUCUCUGCCAUGUUCUAAGAUUAUGGCAUGCCCUACUUCAGUUUUCCAGUGGUAAACCUAGCUUUAUAGAACAUUUCUGUCCAAAAUUUUAGGUGACACAUUUAUAACAAUAUUGCUAGCCCAAGAAGGCAACAGUAGUCCUGAAUGUGAUUCUCAAUUGAUUUUGCCAUUAGGUGGUGGUGGGCGGCGUAAGCUGUCUAUAAUUCCCACAGAUGCUGAUGGAUACUCAACUCGACUCCUAAAAUCAGUGUCAAAUAAUGGAAAGAACAUGCUGUUUGUAGUUCCAUUACACACAGCAAAUUCGUU